Molecule: long non-coding RNA, 1410 nt
Organism: Girardinichthys multiradiatus
Lineage: Eukaryota; Metazoa; Chordata; Actinopteri; Cyprinodontiformes; Goodeidae
Exons: 5
Source: RefSeq, a predicted model, not a curated record
GGGGGUGAGUUUAGAGGCGGAGAGAUGUAGAGAGUCGAGGAUCUGUAUCUGGGACGGCUACAGCAGUGAGAUGCUGCAGUGAAGCUGACCAGAUGAGCUGGCCCGUGUACAGCUACUUGCUUAGAGAGUUCCUGCACUUUCCUUUUUCCCCCCAUAUCAUCAUCUCUCACCAUCUCCACCUCCUUGAUUAACUUUUACAUCACCCACACUUCGGCCUUCGCCAUUCCCUCCUCCCUUUUCCGCUGACUCUUUCUCUUUGCACCAACGGUUUCCCAUCCUUUUGAAUUAGUUGGAAUGGACCUCAUUGGAGAACUGACUGAAACCAAAUCAGGACACCAGUACAUAUGUGUCAUCAUUGACUAUUUUACAAAGUGGCCACAGGCUUAUCCACUUAAGACAAAGUCCGUCCCCGAAGUUACUGAGUGCAUCAUAAAGUUUGUGGAUCAGUUUGAAGCCCCAAUAAGAAUUUUGACUGACCAAGGCAGAGAGUUUUUCAAUUCUAUAAACAAAGAAGUGAGCAAAGUCCUAAACAUCAAAAGGAGUCUGCUCUCCUUAUCAUCCACAAAUGUAUGGGUUGGUGGAGAAAAUGAACGGUACCAUUCAGAGAUCCCUGAGUAAAGUUGUGGAUGCCCAUCCAAAUACCUGGGAUGAGUACCUGGAUGCUGUCAUGUUUGGGCUUCGAACAAAGAAGCAAUUAGCUAUGCAGCAUUCCCCUUAUUUGUUGAUGUUUGGAAGAGAAGCACGGUAUCCUUCUGAAGUUCCUGAACACUGCUUGAUUGACAAUGGCGUGGAGGACAUUAUUGCAGUGGAGGAGUUGUCAGAGGACAUCAAGAUACAAGAAAGCGAUGAAGGGAAGAACAAAACACAACAACAUUGUGUUUAAAGUCGGUGACAGAGUAUGGAGACAAAACAUCCAAAGUCAGCAGCAAAAACGUGGAAAGCUAGAUGCAGGUUUUCUUGGGCCUUACACAAUCAUUGCUAGCCAAGGCAAAAUGGCACAUCUCCAAGAUGAUUAUGGAGCGAUUUUUCGUAAAAUAAUCACCUUAAACUGUGCAUAACCGAAAGUCCCACACUGUCACAUUAUUAAAAAAAAAACAAGGAAACCAAACAUUUUCUGCUCAACCUGUCUGCUCCAGCAUCACCUCCUGCUGCAUCAGUUGCACCUCCCUCUGCCCCAGCUACAACUCAUCUUCAGUCUGCUACCCCUCAAAGAAAAACUCUAACUGAGAAAUGCAAGCUUAUUGUUUGAUUUUUAAAAAUGUAUAUCAAACUACAUUGUUUAAAUAUGUCAAUUUCAGUUAGCAUCCAUAUGUACAGGGGUUGGACAAUGAAACUGAAACACCUGGUUUUAGACCACAAUAAUUUAUUAGUAUAGUCUAGGGCCUCCUUUUGCGGCCAAUACAGCGUCAA